UCCACGCCGUAACGGUGGGUACUAGGUGUGGUUUCCUUCCCUGGGAUCCGUGCCGUAGCUAACGCAUUUAAGUACCCCGCUUUGGGAGUACGGCCGCAAGGCUUAAACUCAAAGAAAUUGACGGGGGCCCGCACAAGCGGCGGAGCAUGUGGAUUAAUUCGAUGCAACGCGAAGAACCUUACCUGGGUUUGACAUGCACAGGACGCCGGCAGAGAUGUCGGUUCCCUUGUGGCCUGUGUGCAGGUGGUGCAUGGCUGUCGUCAGCUCGUGUCGUGAGAUGUUGGGUUAAGUCCCGCAACGAGCGCAACCCUUGUCUCAUGUUGCCAGCGGGUAAUGCCGGGGACUCGUGAGAGACUGCCGGGGUCAACUCGGAGGAAGGUGGGGAUGACGUCAAGUCAUCAUGCCCCUUAUGUCCAGGGCUUCACACAUGCUACAAUGGCCGGUACAAAGGGCUGCGAUGCCGCGAGGUUAAGCGAAUCCUUUUAAAGCCGGUCUCAGUUCGGAUCGGGGUCUGCAACUCGACCCCGUGAAGUCGGAGUCGCUAGUAAUCGCAGAUCAGCA
Molecule: ribosomal RNA, 561 nt
Filed under: uncultured Mycobacterium sp.
Lineage: Bacteria; Bacillati; Actinomycetota; Actinomycetes; Mycobacteriales; Mycobacteriaceae
Description: bacterial SSU rRNA
Rfam family: Bacterial small subunit ribosomal RNA
Source: RNAcentral